GCCUGAGUGGUGAAACUGGUAGACACGCCAGACUCAAAAUCUGGUGGUAGCAAUAUCGUGUCGGUUCGAGUCCGACCUCAGGUACCA
Molecule: transfer RNA, 87 nt
Filed under: Campylobacteraceae bacterium
Lineage: Bacteria; Pseudomonadati; Campylobacterota; Epsilonproteobacteria; Campylobacterales; Campylobacteraceae
Description: tRNA-Leu
Rfam family: tRNA
About the family: Transfer RNA (tRNA) molecules are approximately 80 nucleotides in length. Their secondary structure includes four short double-helical elements and three loops (D, anti-codon, and T loops).
Source: RNAcentral